GGGGCAUUGCCUUAGUAACGGCGAGUGAAGCGGCAAAAGCUCAAAUUUGAAAUCUGGUACCUUCGGUGCCCGAGUUGUAAUUUGGAGAGGGCAACUUUGGGGCCGUUCCUUGUCUAUGUUCCUUGGAACAGGACGUCAUAGAGGGUGAGAAUCCCGUGUGGCGAGGAGUGCGGUUCUUUGUAAAGUGCCUUCGAAGAGUCGAGUUGUUUGGGAAUGCAGCUCUAAGUGGGUGGUAAAUUCCAUCUAAAGCUAAAUAUUGGCGAGAGACCGAUAGCGAACAAGUACAGUGAUGGAAAGAUGAAAAGAACUUUGAAAAGAGAGUGAAAAAGUACGUGAAAUUGUUGAAAGGGAAGGGCAUUUGAUCAGACAUGGUGUUUUGUGCCCUCUGCUCCUUGUGGGUAGGGGAAUCUCGCAUUUCACUGGGCCAGCAUCAGUUUUGGUGGCAGGAUAAAUCCAUAGGAAUGUAGCUUGCCUCGGUAAGUAUUAUAGCCUGUGGGAAUACUGCCAGCUGGGACUGAGGACUGCGACGUAAGUCAAGGAUGCUGGCAUAAUGGUUAUAUGCCGCCCGUCUGA
Molecule: ribosomal RNA, 573 nt
Filed under: Saccharomyces cf. cerevisiae/paradoxus
Lineage: Eukaryota; Fungi; Ascomycota; Saccharomycetes; Saccharomycetales; Saccharomycetaceae
Description: partial large subunit ribosomal RNA
Rfam family: Eukaryotic large subunit ribosomal RNA
Source: RNAcentral